UUUAGAGUUUGAUCCUGGCUCAGAUUGAACGCUAGCGGGAUGCCUUACACAUGCAAGUCGAACGGCAGCGCGGACUUCGGUCUGGCGGCGAGUGGCGAACGGGUGAGUAAUGUAUCGGAACGUGCCCAGUAGCGGGGGAUAACUACGCGAAAGCGUAGCUAAUACCGCAUACGCCCUACGGGGGAAAGCGGGGGACCUUCGGGCCUCGCACUAUUGGAGCGGCCGAUAUCGGAUUAGCUAGUUGGUGGGGUAACGGCUCACCAAGGCGACGAUCCGUAGCUGGUUUGAGAGGACGACCAGCCACACUGGGACUGAGACACGGCCCAGACUCCUACGGGAGGCAGCAC
RNAcentral lists this ribosomal RNA (347 nucleotides) under Bordetella petrii. RNAcentral's name for it is "bacterial SSU rRNA". It matches the Rfam family "Bacterial small subunit ribosomal RNA", at positions 1 to 354 of the family's 1533-position model. Lineage: Bacteria; Pseudomonadati; Pseudomonadota; Betaproteobacteria; Burkholderiales; Alcaligenaceae. The record is from RNAcentral.